This 253-nucleotide ribosomal RNA is filed under the name uncultured bacterium. RNAcentral's name for it is "partial 16S ribosomal RNA". It matches the Rfam family "Bacterial small subunit ribosomal RNA", at positions 524 to 776 of the family's 1533-position model. The record is from RNAcentral.
UACAGAGGGGGCAAGCGUUGUUCGGAAUUACUGGGCGUAAAGGGCGCGUAGGCGGCCUGCUAAGUCGAACGUGAAAUCCCUGGGCUCAACCCAGGAACUGCGUCCGAUACUGGUUGGCUUGAAUCCGGGAGAGGGACGUGGAAUUCCAGGUGUAGCGGUGAAAUUCGUAGAUAUUGGCUGGAACACCGGUGGCGAAAGCGGCUCUCUGGCCCGGUUCUGACGCUGAGGCGCGAAAGCGUGGGGAGCAAACAGG